RNAcentral lists this long non-coding RNA (517 nucleotides) under Numida meleagris (helmeted guineafowl). RNAcentral's name for it is "lncRNA (ENSNMEG00000014910.1)". The record is from RNAcentral. Lineage: Eukaryota; Metazoa; Chordata; Aves; Galliformes; Numididae.
CAGGCUGCCCGGGGCCCCAUCCAACCUGGCCUUGAGCACCUGCAGGGUUGGGGCACCACAGCUUCUCUGGGCAGCUGUGCCAGGGCCUCACCACCCUUGGAUCCAGCUUUUUUACUUUCCCAAAACUUUCCUUGAGGCAAAGCAAUUAAUGAUUUGAGGAAGCAAACCUGUUUCCUCAGAAUUCGCCCUGGAACUGACUGGAAGAAUGUGAUAGUCCUGGUGACCCAUAACAGAGACCUCCUUGGAUAGCUGUGGGAUGCCUGCAAAGGGCUUGGGAAAGGAACAGGAACUCAGAAGCCAUAGCAUGCUUGGGGCUUCCCCAGUGGGAACUGGCAGGAGACAAACUGGAGGGACCUCUGCGUGCAGGCCUCACCAUGAGGCUCUUGUCACUGGAGGUGACUCCUCAGAGCCCACCCUUCAGGGAGUGGCACUCCUACUUUCCAUCCUACAAUGGCAGCAGUGCUGUAAAGGGCAGUGGAUGGACCUGGGCAUGCUGAAGUAUUGUCACAGAAAAUAA